UACGUAGGGGGCGAGCGUUGUCCGGAUUUAUUGGGCGUAAAGAGCGCGUAGGUGGUUCGUAAAGUCGGAUGUGAAAGUCCAGGGCUCAACCCUGGGAUGCCAUUCGAUACUUGCGAACUAGAGCACGGUAGGGGGAUCUGGAAUUCCUGGUGUAGCGGUGAAAUGCGCAGAUAUCGGGAGGAACACCAAUGGCGAAGGCAGCUCGCUGGGACGUUACUGACGCUGAGACGCGAAAGCGUGGGGAGCAAACAGGAUUAGAUACCC
Molecule: ribosomal RNA, 264 nt
Filed under: uncultured bacterium
Lineage: Bacteria
Description: partial 16S ribosomal RNA
Rfam family: Bacterial small subunit ribosomal RNA
Source: RNAcentral